UACGUAGGGGGCUAGCGUUGUCCGGAUUUAUUGGGCGUAAAGAGCUCGUAGGCGGUUUGUCGCGUCUGCUGUGAAAACCCGAGGCUCAACCUCGGGCCUGCAGUGGGUACGGGCAGACUAGAGUGCGGUAGGGGAGACUGGAAUUCCUGGUGUAGCGGUGAAAUGCGCAGAUAUCAGGAAGAACACCCGUGGCUAAGGCGGCUCUCUAG
RNAcentral lists this ribosomal RNA (209 nucleotides) under uncultured bacterium. RNAcentral describes it as "partial 16S ribosomal RNA". It matches the Rfam family "Bacterial small subunit ribosomal RNA", at positions 524 to 732 of the family's 1533-position model. The record is from RNAcentral.